CCCUCUCGCCCUCUCUACUACCUCCAAGAUGGUAGGAAAGUUGUUGUUUUGGAGGGCAGAGGAGCCGCUCUCUGAUGUUAUGUCCUCUCAGUGCCUGUAGUGGUGCUGUAGGAGGCUGCUGGCUCUCUUCUUGAGCAGCCCCAGCAGCCCUGCCUUCUUUGCUGGAGAAUAUAUUCAGGGAUUCCCCUUAAUAAUCACCUACCCUCUGAACACUUUGUAGUUUUAAAAUAAUAAAGAGCCCCCAAAGCUUCCUCCCCGCAAAAAGCAGGAUCUUCUCAGAGCCAGGGGGGCAGCAGCUCCUCAGCACAGAGCCCGAGCCCAUUCCCAGUCCCUCUGCUGGGGAGGAAACUCUGAUCUGUCAGCCCAACAGAGGGAAAGGGGGGAGAGGAGAGAGAGGAGAAAAAAAAAGCAGCUGGAAAGGGAAAAGAACGUCUGGUAGUUGUGAAGUGAGUCCACUGGAAAGCCCACCAACGUGCUUCACCCCGCACAGGGUUCUUUUAUACAGUGGGAAGUGAAGGCUUGUACCUUCACAAGAGGAAACUGCACCUUUCCUGCAAAGCCUGUGUAGGCUCCCUCCUUGCAAUCGUGUUCUUGCCAUUUCGGGCCUUGGGAACAAACAAUCUGCUUCAUCUUGAUUCAUCAUCAUUCCAGGAUAGUGGUGUCCUUGGGGCUCUCUCUUAACAUUGAUAUGGUACAGAAGAUUUAAAGUCAGCUGAUGUUCACAAGGAAUAGAGUCACGUGAUGUAUGAAGGCAAACACAUACACUUCUCUGAGGUUGACAAUAAGCCCUUGUGCUCAUAUAGCCCCAAACUGUGCAAGCAGAGGCGACUUAACGGGUACGCCUUCUGUAUCAGACACGUUCUGGAGGACAAGACUGCCCCCUUCAAGCAAUGUGAAUAUGUGGCCAAGUAUAACAGCCAACGCUGCACCAACCCCAUCCCCAAAUCUGAGGACCGUAGGUACUGCAACAGCCACCUGCAGGUACUUGGCUUUAUACCGAAAAAGGAGAGGAAGAAAAAGAAUGAUCCCAUAGAGGAGGUAAAGGUCAGGCAUCAGAUGGAUGCUAUGGCCUUCAGUCUGACAGUGCCCACCCUGGCCUUGAAGAUGCCCAAUGGACUGGAUGGGAUGUCCCUCUCCCCUCCAGGGGCUAGGCUUCCUCUCCAUUACCUGGAGGCAGAAUUAGAAGACCCCUUUGCUUUCAACGAGGAAGAUGAUGACCUAAAGAAAGGGGCAACAGUGAGGAAAAAGUUGCAGAGCAAGUUGGCUCAAAACCGGCAGCGCCAGAGAGAGACAGAGAUUUUAAAAGUUCGCCAAGAGCACUUUAGCCCCCUUCCUGCACCUUUGCAGCAGCAGCCUCUGCAGCAGCAGCACUCCCAUCUGCCACCUUCAUCAGCUUCAUUAAAGCCGACAGGGCUACCGCAGGGCGUAGUCUGCAAGUCACCUCAACCUCCGAACACCAGCCUACCAAUGCAGGGAGUGGCACCUACCACACACACUAUAGCACAAGCCCGGCAGUUGUCUAACAAGAGACCUCUGCCUCUCCUGCCACCCGCUAGGGCUCCUGUCACGGACCCUCCAAGGACUGAUCGGGUCCUCAUGAAAGCCACAACCUUUUCUCCGCACUCGUCCUGCAUGAGCCGGCUACAGAGACUGGUGAAACUGUGCACUCGAAAACAGCAGCUGGACACUGAUCUGUUUCCACAUUUAGGGCUGGACUGGUCUGAAGACAGUGGAGAAGAGUUGGAGGAUUCAGAGCAAACCUCCCCUUACCAGGUUGCGUGGUCUAUCCGAGAAACCCUUGGCUAUGAGAGACAUGAGUCCGAUGAUGACAAUGCAGAUGACAGGAGUUCCAGGGUGACCAGACUUUGCACUUACUUUCAGCAGAAAUACAAGCACCUCUGCCGCCUGGAGCGGGCAGAAUCUCGUCAGAAGAAAUGCCGGCAUACACUCCGGAAAGCCUUGCUGCAGGCGGCCAGCAGAGAGCCGGAGCGUGCUGGGCAACUGAUACAAGAACUCCGAAGAGCUACGUGUGCUCGUACCAGCACAAGCCAAGCGAGGCAGAGAGAUGCAGAACCAACAACCUGUAGUGGGACUUUGAAGGGAGAACAGUGCACUAACAAGGCCCUUCCAUUCACCAGGCAUUGUUUUCAGCAUAUCUUAUUGAACCGUUCUCAGCAGCUCUUCUCAAGUUGCACAGCCAAGUUUGCGGAUGGUCAACAGUGCUCUGUGCCAGUUUUUGACAUUACACAUCAGACACCUCUGUGCGAAGAACAUGCCAAAAAAAUGGACAAUUUCUUGAGAGGGGACAGCUCCCGUAAAGUUCAGCACCAGCAGCAGAGGAAACCCAGGAAAAAAACGAAGCCACCUGCACUUACCAAAAAACACAAGAAGAAGAGAAGGCGAGGCCCACGUCGGCCCCAGAAACCCAUUCCUCCUGCAGUGCCCCAGGGGAACCUUACCAUGCCUGCCAGUGUCUCACUGCCAGUAGAGAUGCCCCACAUAAGGAGCCCCUCCACACCAGAGCUGAGUGCCGAUGAGCUGCCUGAUGAUAUCGCCAACGAGAUCACAGACAUUCCACAUGACUUGGAAUUGAAUCAGGAGGACUUCUCAGAUGUCCUGCCGCGGCUGCCCGAUGACUUGCAAGAUUUUGAUUUCUUUGAAGGUAAAAAUGGAGAUCUCCUUCCGACCACAGAAGAGGCUGAAGAACUGGAACGGGCCCUGCAGGCUGUAACUUCUCUUGAGUGCCUGAGUACCAUUGGAGUACUUACACAGACAGAUGGUGUGCCAGUUCAGGAGCUGUCAGAUAGAGGGAUAGGGGUGUUCUCUACAGGUGCUGGAGCUCCAGGAAUGCAGUCCUUGAGUCGAGAGGUUAACACGGAUCUGGGGGAGCUGUUGAAUGGGCGUAUAGUACAUGAUAAUUUCUCCGGUCUGGAGCUGGAUGAGAACUUGCUCCGUUCUGCUACCUUGUCCAACCCACCUACGCCCCUGGCAGGGCAGAUCCAGGGGCAGUUCUCAGCCCCAGCCAACGUCAGCCUUACUUCUGCCACUCUCAUAAGCCAGAGUGGCCUUGGGGAGAGAGCCUUCCCAGGACAGUUUCAUGGACUUCAUGAUGGCAGCCAUGCCUCCCAGAGGCCCCACCCUGCCCAGCUGCUGAGCAAGGCAGAUGACCUGAUCACCUCACGACAGCAAUACAGCAGUGACCAUUCACACUCCUCACCCCAUGGAAGCCAUUAUGAUAGUGAGCAUGUGCCGUCUCCCUACAGUGACCAUAUCACAUCCCCUCACACCACAUCCUUUUCUGGUGAUAACUUGGCAGCUACCUUCUCAGCAGAGAUGCCCAUGAUGGCACAGCACUUGCUCCCAACUCAGCUGGAUGUGCCACUUAGCGGGGUGGUCAACCCCAGAACUCACUGGGGAAAUCUUCCUGUCAAUCUUGGGGACCCCUCUCCGUUUAGUAACCUUCUUGGUGCAGAUGGACACCUCCUGUCCACCUCCCUGUCCACACCACCUACCACCUCGCACUCAGAGACCACACAGCCUGCCUUCGCCACCGUGACCCCCAACAGCUCCAGUGUGCUUCCGGGGUUACCGCAGACCAGUUUUAGUGGCAUGGGUCCUGCCUCUGCUGAACUCAUGGCCUCCACCUCCCCUAAACAACAGCUCCCUCAGUUCAGCGCAGCCUUUGGGCACCAGCUGAGCUCCCACAGUGGCAUCCCCAAGGACCUGCAGCCCAGCCACAGCUCCAUAGCUCCUCCCACGGGCUUCGCAGUGACCGGUGCCACCGCUACCAGUACCAAUAACGCAUCCGCGCCCUUCACCACCUCCAACUGAGCUUGUCUGCCUGGCUCUGUGCAGGUAGAUGGGGGACCUGUGUUUUCUAUCUUUCCUUUUUUCCUUUUUCUUUAUUUUUUCUGUCCUCCCUUCCCUUUUUUUUUUAAGAGGGGGUUGAGAAGAAAACCCCUGCUUCAGUACUGACCAGGGUUAGCCCUCUGUGAACCUUGCUGUAGCGUUCACAUGUGCUUGUUACGCACCGGUGCUCAUUUAUUGCAGGCAGGUUCACUGUUCCCCAAUAAUUCCUUAAGGAUACAGCACAGUUACUGGAUGUAAUUGAUCUUAGCAGUAAGACCUAGAAAUGGGAAGAUACCUCAGAGUACUGAUGCAUGUUACUGUUUCCUAGGGUUCAGAUCAGUGCUUGCCAUCCGAGCAGCAUCUGGUAGAAAGUUUUCCAGUGGGCAGUCUCUUGAUUUUUUUUUUUUUAUUUACUUUUUUUCCAAAGGUAGCAUCUGGCAUGGAAAACUUGGCUGCGCGCAUUGAUUUGAGAAUGGUGCGCUGAAGUCCUAAAUCAAGAUCAUGGCUCAAGGAUGAGUUUGGCAGUUUCUUAAAAUAGUCUCUUGACCUCCUCUGUGUGCGUGUGUGUGUUUGGGGUGCAGGGAGCAGCAGUUCCUUUUCUUCUUUUGGUGAAGAAGUGGGAGUUGUCCCCUUCCAGAACUGGUCGCUGUUCUUACUGCAUGCUGAUUUUUGGUUUUUUAUUAUGAUGAUUUUUAAUUCAUUGAGCAGCAAGGGGAUCAGUUGACUGGUUGCCCAGAAUCUGAAGGCUGAUACAAAGUUAGCCCAGGGAAAAAAAGAAAGAAAAACCAGAAGGAUUGAAAUAGAUCAUGGAUUAGUGAAGAUUCCUGUGCAGGAAUUCCCUCCCUUGCUGAAUUACUGUGGCCUUGUAGCAUUGAUGAUUUGCCUUUUCAAGUGUGGCUUUGUCCAGAACUCCUUGUCUGACAGGCUGACAGGUAUUUCCCAGCUGAAACUGGAAGAAUUUGGUUGGUAUUCUGCCCAUCCACACAAGUCUAGGUCAGACCCUUUGGUAAGUUUCAAAUGGAUGCAUUUCUCAAAUUACGUCUAGCUACUGAGACUUUCUUGGAUAGUUUUUCCCCCCCUGGGAGCCAUAUAGUUUUUUGAUACUUGGAGGGUAUGAUGCUCUGUAUGGGAAGCUGAAUGUAUGUAAGGAACUAGCAGGUACCUAUCAGCAGUCAUGGCUAACCAAAAGAGAAAUCACUAAAGCAAAAUAGGUAAGAUUUCUUUCUGUCUGCAGGACAGUUUUGCUUUUACUGCCCACCUGCUAAAGAUAGUAUUCAGACUCUUUGGUAGUAAUUUCAGUUCUUAAAGAAAGGAGUCCACUAGCUUUUAGAUUUUUUAUUUUAUUUUAUUUUAUUUUAUGUUUUUUAAUCCAAGAGAUAACAGCAGCAGAAAUUCUGAGGUGUUUACUUGCAUCUCUUUAUCAGGAAGAGAAAAAAGGAAUUUGCUUGUGACUUUAUAGGGCUCAAACUUGCUACUGUACUCUGACUUUGACUGUAAAAGUAGCUCCUACUUAAUAUAACAAGUCUUUACUCUUCUUGGUUUGUUUCUGAGAUGCAGACAAGAGAGAACAGAAAAUCCCACAUUUCAGUCUCUUACUGUAGAAGGCAGAUUUCAUUCUACCUUACAGUAAAAUGUCCUACCUGCAUGUAUUCUAGUCUAAUUCAGGAAAUUAAGAGAUACCAAGCACAUAUAAUAGGGAGGCCUAACAAAUUGUUUGAGCAAAGGAUCAUUGAACGAAGUUUAGUUGCUAUAGAAAUUCAUUUUGUUAGCAGUCAGGCCCACACCAAAAUCUCUGACCCAAACCUCUCCUUCCGUCUUGCUAAGGAACAGAAUUUAAACAGGGUAGGUCUUGUGUCUUCUUACUAUCGUAGCAAUCAUACUAUCCCUCUUUUCUUGAAAGAUUUGUUCUCCUUAAAUAUAAAGGAGUAUGAAUGAUGCAUAUGUCCUUUUCUGAAAUUGCAAGUGUAUGUGGGUGGAGGAAACAAAAAUGAUUUUCAUGCUUCUGUUGUUAUGAAGUCCUUAUUUCAUACUUGGUAAAAUAGAUCUUAAUAAUAUAAGCCGAAUAUUUUUAAGUGGUGAUUUAAAUAUGUUUGUAACAUUUAAAUGUUUUUAAAUCAUGUAAAAAGUUGAAUUGACGCCUAUGAAAUCCUGCUUGUGAUUGUCCUGCUGAUUGAGGAAUGCCCAGUGGUAUUGUGAAAUGAGGCAAAUCUGACAAGGCAUUUAUUUAUUUUUGUAUUAUGUUCCCCAUACUUUGUUGAGGAGACAACUGUUUGAUUUGCAAAUGAUUUUCGUUGUGUCCAUAUGCCUUCUUCAAUGUGUUUGGAUGACUGGCUGAAAAAGAGUGGAGAACUAGUAUACCAAAUGGUUAAUUCUUUAAUCUGCUCGUGUAUUCAUGUCAUUUUAGAGGAUGUUAAUUUCUAUAAGUUGGUUUCAGGACUUUGGUCUUGAAAUCAUUCUUGUGCCCAUCAAACUCUUUAAUGAAGCUGCAGCUUGUGCAGAGUAUAUUUGCCCCACAUCACAUUUCUCUUUCUUAGCAAA
RNA transcript from Aptenodytes forsteri (emperor penguin), 6387 nucleotides. It is a transcript of the gene named INO80 complex subunit D, with no coding region annotated. NCBI's taxonomy places the organism in Eukaryota, Metazoa, Chordata, Aves, Sphenisciformes, Spheniscidae. The record is from RefSeq and is a predicted model, not a curated record. The transcript is spliced from 14 exons.